This 414-nucleotide ribosomal RNA is filed under the name Triticum aestivum (bread wheat). Its description in RNAcentral is "partial small subunit ribosomal RNA". Lineage: Eukaryota; Viridiplantae; Streptophyta; Magnoliopsida; Poales; Poaceae. The record is from RNAcentral.
AUGGCACCAGGCGGGCGCGGGCGGCGGAAGGCUGGGGGCUUGGAGCCUUGGAGGGCGGCGGAUCCAGCGGCGCAGCAAGCGACGGCAGCAGCAAGCGGCGGCUUCGGCGGCGGCUUCAGCAGCAGCUCCGGCGGCGACUCCAGCGGCGCGGCGGCUUCAACGGCGGCUUCAGCAGCAGCUCAGGCGGCGACUCCAGCGGCGCGGCGGCUUCAACGGCGGCUCCAGCAGGCGACGGCCACGGUCGGGGUUUGGGAUUCAGUUUUGUCUAGAUUGCUAGAAGAUGGAAGGAAAGGGAAAGGGACUAGUAAAUCCAAAGAAAAGAGGAAGAGAUUUGAAAAGGUUUUAGGUUGUUUUCCUAUUGAGGCAUGUCUAUAUUUCCAUUGUAUUUGGUUAUUCGUUCGUAGUGUGUAUUAA